AUUGAACGCUGGCGGCAUGCCUAACACAUGCAAGUCGAACGAGAGGCGGACUGGUGGAUGAUUUCUUAGCACCUGGCUGAUGGAGCGGGAUAACUACUGGAAACGUUGGCUACAGCCGCUUAACGUCCGUUCUGCUCAGGUGGGAUUAGCUAGUAGGUGGGGUAACGGCUCACCUAGGCGACGAUCCCUAGCUGGUCUGAGAGGAUGACCGGCCACACUGGAACUGAGACACGGUCCAGACUCCUACGGGAGGCAGCAGUGGGGAAUCUUGGACAAUGGGCGAAAGCCUGAUGCAGCCAUGCCGCGUGUGUGAAGAAGGCCUUCGGGUUGUAAAGCACUUUCAGCGAGGAGGCGGUACUCGCAGAAGAAGCACCGGCUAACUCCGUGCCAGCAGCCGCGGUAAUUC
Molecule: ribosomal RNA, 406 nt
Filed under: uncultured bacterium
Lineage: Bacteria
Description: partial 16S ribosomal RNA
Rfam family: Bacterial small subunit ribosomal RNA
Source: RNAcentral